UGGGGGAUAUUGCGCAAUGGGGGCAACCCUGACCCAGCAACGCCGCGUGAAGGAUGAAGGUUUUCGGAUUGUAAACUUCUUUUAUUAAGGACGAAAAAUGACGGUACUUAAUGAAUAAGCUCCGGCUAACUACGUGCCAGCAGCCGCGGUAAUACGUAGGGAGCAAGCGUUGUCCGGAUUUACUGGGUGUAAAGGGUGCGUAGGCGGCUUUGCAAGUCAGAUGUGAAAUCUAUGGGCUCAACCCAUAAACUGCAUUUGAAACUGUAGAGCUUGAGUGAAGUAGAGGCAGGCGGAAUUCCCCGUGUAGCGGUGAAAUGCGUAGAGAUGGGGAGGAACACCAGUGGCGAAGGCGGCCUGCUGGGCUUUAACUGACGCUGAGGCACGAAAGCGUGGGUAGCAAACAGGAUUAGAUACCCUGGUAGUCCACGCUGUAAACGAUGAUUACUAGGUGUGGGGGGUCUGACCCCUUCCGUGCCGGAGUUAACACAAUAAGUAAUCCACCUGGGGAGUACGGCCGCAAGGUUGAAACUCAAAGGAAUUGACGGGGGCCCGCACAAGCAGUGGAGUAUGUGGUUUAAUUCGAAGCAACGCGAAGAACCUUACCAGGUCUUGACAUCCAACUAACGAAGUAGAGAUACAUUAGGUGCCCUUCGGGGAAAGUUGAGACAGGUGGUGCAUGGUUGUCGUCAGCUCGUGUCGUGAGAUGUUGGGUUAAGUCCCGCAACGAGCGCAACCCUUGCUAUUAGUUGCUACGCAAGAGCACUCUAAUAGGACUGCCGUUGACAAAACGGAGGAAGGUGGGGACGACGUCAAAUCAUCAUGCCCCUUAUGACCUGGGCUACACACGUACUACAAUGGAUGUUAACAGAGGGAAGCAAGACAGCGAUGUGGAGCAAACCCCUAAAAACAUUCUCAGUUCAGAUUGCAGGCUGCAACCCGCCUGCAUGAAGAUGGAAUUGCUAGUAAUCGCGGAUCAGCAUGCCGCGGUGAAUACGUUCCC
This 1000-nucleotide ribosomal RNA is filed under the name uncultured bacterium. Its description in RNAcentral is "bacterial SSU rRNA". It matches the Rfam family "Bacterial small subunit ribosomal RNA", at positions 355 to 1375 of the family's 1533-position model. RNAcentral also lists the same sequence under 1 other name. The record is from RNAcentral.